UCUGAAGCCAUACAGAUGCAAACUACAUAUAAUUUAUGUGGAAGCUUCUAUUAAGACAGAAGUGUGCUUUCCAGCUAUUUCUCAACACAAGAAAGUGACCUGAAUGAUUCUGAAGCGAUAUCGGCAUGUUGCAAAAAUUUUGGUUUUGAUCUAUAGUCAUCUUUUUCUGACUAAAGGCGUAUCACUCAUCACCAGAAGAUACUGCUUUCUUGGUUCCACACAUGCUCUGAACUGACAGCAACUAAGCUGGAUGCUAUGAAAUACUCGAUACUAAUAUCAAAACAUUGGAAAUCUAAGUAUACAUUCAACUUCUUAAUCAAAUUAAAUAGCAAGAACACGGCAUUUUCUAAUCAUUUUUAUUCUUGUAGAAGGCAAAUUUUCAGUAAGCUGUAAGGAGGCAAACCACGAUCAUCUGUAAAUAUCUAUCAAAACAGAAGCGGCGUAUCCAGCUAUUUCUCAAUACGCGAAAUGGCGAAAUUGAUGCCAUUCCGAGAUCAACUUCUGCAACUAUAGUGUCUGAAGAAAUCGGUCGAUGGAGAAUGAAUCUAACGUGUGACAGCCUUCUGCAAGUCCUCCUCACUACUAAAAUGUUGCUCUGCUAUAAGCCUCUUCAAGUACACGAACAGAACGAGAAAUGUCGGGUGUCUGUUAAGAACACGCUUUCAUCGAAGUGAUCUCGGCAUAAGACAAUACCUGGACCCUUCAUCAAGCGCAUAUUGGAGUGCGGAAGCUGCACUUUUCUAUUACGGACGAAGACUAUAUUUGAAUUUAUAUUAUCAAUAUGUUCACAAGCAAAUCUAGAAAAGAACUAAUUGACUCAAUGGAAGAAACGGAUAUUGUAAAUACAGCGACAUAACAAAUUUGAUGGAACAAAACCUAGAUUUAAUUUUCGUGGUGCCUUCCUCUAUAAAUUGCAUUUGAGAACAUAUUUAUUACCGAAUUUGCUAAGAAUUGUUUGACAUGACAGAUUGCCACUAUACAAUUUUAAAAAUCUUGAAUUUCAUUACUGUAAUCUUUUUAGCCAUUAUAUCGGCAGAAUUUCUUUCCAUUUACAAACCAAUUUUAUUAAUAAAACUGCACCACUUCGUUGUAACUGAAGCCAUUUCUUGACCUUGCUUAUUUCUAAAACUUCAUUUAGUAAUUUUGAAUGACGAUUAUUAAAGAAUAGUUCAUGUUCGAAUAAGUGUUUCAUUCCUGUAUUUAUAACGAAGUUUGUGUGGAUUGCUUUUGUGAGGAUUUUGAUCUCUGUAAUGCUAGUAUCAACUAUGUAAAGGAAUUUCUUUAAAUUUCCGUUAGUUAUCAAACUCGAAAUCUUGAUAAUCAGAGCUUCAAUCUAAAAGUUCAGAAUUGUACAAAAUAUAAUAUGUGACGUUUAAUAUGUACUUGUGUUUGAUUAAUUUAUGAAAUAUUCCUUAAAGGAAAAAAUGCUUCUGUAUUAUGUAUACGAGGUAGAAAGAUGCAUUGGUAACAAAUAUAUUGGUUUUUCUAAUCUUUUGAAAUGAGGUUGAAAGUAUUGCAGUUUUUCUCUAAAUUAAAUCUUGUAUUGGCAUACAUAAAAUAAUCCCGAGUUUUGAAAAAUAAUUCAAGUGCAUAGAAGUAUUCUUAAUCGCAUUUCAAAGUCUUUAAACAAAUUUUUAAUUUGAAUGCUUGCGAACAAUUUUUAUAUUAAAGAUAAUGUAAUUCUUGUAUUGUAAGAUUUUUUUGCAUGCAUUGUCUUCAUCUUAAAUUCUAGUAAUUGUUUUUAGGUUAAAAUUUUAAAGAUAGUUAAAAUUUAAUUAUUGCAUAUAAGUUAAGUUUCAGAAAUACUUUACCUUGGUCU
This is a long non-coding RNA of Argiope bruennichi, 1819 nucleotides long. RefSeq lists it as uncharacterized. Lineage: Eukaryota; Metazoa; Arthropoda; Arachnida; Araneae; Araneidae. The record is from RefSeq and is a predicted model, not a curated record. The transcript is spliced from 3 exons.